UGGGCGUAAGAGCUCGUAGGUCGUUUGUUACGUCGGAUGUGAAAACCUGAGGCUCAACCUCAGGCCUGCAUUCGAUACGGGCAAACUAGAGUUUGGUAGGGGAGACUGGAAUUCCUGGUGUAGCGGUGGAAUGCGCAGAUAUCAGGAGGAACACCAAUGGCGAAGGCAGGUCUCUGGGCCAAUACUGACACUGAGGAGCGAAAGUCUGGGGAGCGAACAGGAUUAGAUACCCUGGUAGUCCAGACCGUAAACGGUGGGCACUAGUUGUGGGAACCUUCCACGGUUUCUGCGACGCAGCUAACGCAUUAAGUGCCCCGCCUGGGGAGUACGAUCGCAAGAUUAAAACUCAAAGGAAUUGACGGGGCCCCGCACAAGCAGCGGAGCAUGCGGCUUAAUUCGACGCAACGCGAAGAACCUUACCAAGGCUUGACAUAUAGGGAAAAGUGGCAGAGAUGUCAUGUCCGCAAGGGCUCUAUACAGGUGGUGCAUGGUUGUCGUCAGCUCGUGUCGUGAGAUGUUGGGUUAAGUCCCGCAACGAGCGCAACCCUCGUUCUGUGUUGCCAGCAUUUAGUUGGGGACUCACAGGAGACUGCCGGGGUUAACUCGGAGGAAGGUGGGGAUGACGUCAAAUCAUCAUGCCCCUUAUGUCUUGGGCUGCACGCAUGCUACAAUGGCCGGUACAGAGGGCUGCAAUACCGCAAGGUGGAGCGAAUCCCAAAAAGCCGGUCUCAGUUCGGAUUGAGGUCUGCAACUCGACCUCAUGAAGCUGGAGUUGCUAGUAAUCGUAGAUCAGCAUCGCUACGGUGAAUACGUUCCCGGGGCUUGUACACACCGCCCGUCACGUCACGAAAGUCGGUAACACCCAAAGUCAGUGGCCCAACCGCAAGGGGGGAGCUGCCUAAGGUGGGAUCGGUG
Molecule: ribosomal RNA, 915 nt
Filed under: uncultured Actinomycetes bacterium
Lineage: Bacteria; Bacillati; Actinomycetota; Actinomycetes
Description: bacterial SSU rRNA
Rfam family: Bacterial small subunit ribosomal RNA
Source: RNAcentral